Parus major (Great Tit) is the source of this 6635-nucleotide long non-coding RNA. RefSeq lists it as uncharacterized. NCBI's taxonomy places the organism in Eukaryota, Metazoa, Chordata, Aves, Passeriformes, Paridae. The record is from RefSeq and is a predicted model, not a curated record. The transcript has 3 exons.
UAACUUUGCUGUAUAACUCUUUUAUUUGUAGAUUUUAAAAUUCUUUAUAGAAAUGAGGGAAAUGUAUUUUUGUUUUGCAUAUUACAGAUAUCAAGGGGAUUGAAUCACAAAGAAGCUUAAUGACUAACUCAUGAAGAAACACUAGGUCUUUGUCUGCCUGGGCCUAGCAUGGACCUUUUUGUAUGCCAAAAAUUAUCUUAAUCUGUAGGUUUUGUUGGAACCUGAUGCAUAUCAGAGACUACUGUAAGAAACCUUUGGGUCUCUGGUACAUUGCCAAGGCUAUAGUUUCAGAUGUAACAUAUUUAGGAUGCCUCACAAAUGGGCUAACCUUGUAAUAGAUACUUACAAACUCUGUAACUAGGCAACUAAAAAAAGAAAAAAACCUCUCAGGUGGUUAUCAAAUUUGUCUUGGGAAACCCUUGUCCUGCUGUGCAACUUAAAACAAGAGAUGAUGUUGCAAUAUAAUUACAUUUUAUCUUAAAUUAUAUUGUCUCAUUAUUCAUGCAGCCGUAUUAUCCGAGUUUUACUCAGAACCACCAAUCUGCAUCAGAGAGGCAAAAUGUUAAUUUUCAUAGGAUUUUACCUCUUGUUAUUAAAUAACUCUGUUAUCUAAAUAGUAAAGCAAUCUGGUCUAAGCACACACAUUUUAUUUCAUUGCGUCUGACUUCUCUAUUGUUAAUGAAUGAAAACUAAAGGAGGAAGCAUAGCUCUGGGGUUCUUCUGUUCAUCUUUAUGUAUUCCAGUUUGUAGAUCCCAAGAGUCAUUUAGAUUUGGUGUUUUGAAUAUCCAUGGUAAUACAGAGAUCACUUGUAGAGACUGCAGAAAGGUUCUGCAGAGGAACCUUCACUUGCUUCCACCCACCAAGCUAACCCCUCGUUACUUCUUGCUAUGUUGAGUUCCAGUGACCUUCAAGGAGUUUACAUGAAGCAGAUGUUGUGAUGCAAUGCAGUGGAUGAGCUCUCACAGAAAACUCAAGAAAUCCAAAGCCAGAUUUCUUACAGAUAUUUAUAAACAAGCCACAACAAGACACGUAAGGUAUCCAAAUUAAACCUAUGUAUCCCAAUAUUAAGAAAUAAUAACUAUUUGACUGUUGGAAUGACGACUUUAAAGAUUGUACAGAAAAGUCAUAUUCAAAAUAUAAUUAAAUGCUCUGAACUGAACUGAAGGUGAUAAAGGCUGUAAAUUACAUAAUUAUCUGACAUAGUGGAUUAUCAAUUUUGAUGGUACCUAUACAGAUUUAAAAUAGGAAAAAGAUCACAAUAUAGCAUAAAAACCCCUUCAAGAAUAUUCUAAAGAAAUGCAGCAGUGUUUAUAUAGACUCGUCUGUUUCUGCAGAGGGUUGAAAUACCUCCUCAGGGACCAGCACUUCUAGGCAGAAGUGCCAAUGUGAAAUGCUCAGUGCGACUGGAGCCAGGACAAAAACUCAGGCCUUUCUUUCUGGAUAUAUCUGAAGUAAUCUGUGAACAGUUCAGGAAUCUAUAUGUCUUUCCAGAAAGAGAUUAAUGAUUGCCUGUUUUCCAACCAUUUGUUUGUAACAUCCAGGCUGUGUGGAACAACUCAUAUGUGUUACAUCCUGAAAAGUUUGCUAUUUGCAAAACAUUUUACCAUUUUCCACUUCAGAAGCAUCUAAAUUUAGUAAUGGUGCAUAGCUCUGUCUCCCCAGGGGCCUACAGUUCAAAAGUCCAUCUCUGUUUUGAAUGUAAGUUUAGAGCAAACAGCACAGCAUGACAAAGUGGCUGAAGAACAACCUGUGUCUGUUUCUCAGUGCUAAAUUUUAACCGCUCAACCCGAGGGUGUGGGAACCCAGGUGGAAUACUUAGGGGUGCGACAAUUGAAGGCAUUUUCUCUUCUUCAUGGACACUUGGGAUGUUCUGGUUCUCCCUCUGGACAGCUGUGGCCCUGUGCCUGCUUGCAGCUCCCACCUCCUGCUGCUUGUUGAGAAGCAGUCAGUCACCAGAACAACAGCCCUAUGGUCUAGUCGCCCACCCUUCCCCUGCAAAACCCUGCUUGCUGGGCUAGUAAUGUAUGGAGCCUUUCUGUGUCCUCUUCUGCUUAUAGCUGUUCACAGACCCACUGCUUCUGAAGCCUUCAUGUCUUUGGAAGGAAACAGAAAGCAGAUCUUGCUCUCCUUGAACUGCAAAAGCAGAAUCUAUCAACCACUGCAGCAAACAGCAAUACACUGGAGAGAUGGGCUUUUGUAUAGGUGCAGAUACUUGUACAUAUUAGUGCAAAGUCAAAAGUAUGUGUCUUUGACCCUUUCAUUUACUAUUGUAUUUCUUGACCCAGAUCUUCAGAGAAACCAUUUUGGAAUUUAUAAAGGAUUUUGGAUUGCUUCCAGCCAUUUCCUGUUCCUAGUUGGUCCCAUGCUGGGUCAUAUCAUAUUGAGUGUCUGCCAUUGUACUGAUUUCUCCUUCUGCUCCUUCCACCUCCUCUUCUAGCAUUUUUGUUGAAGGUCUUCCUUUCCUUCUUCCAGGUUACUGUACAGAUUCCAUGGGAAAAUUUUCCUUAGUCUUCCCUUCUCCCUGGCUGCCUUUAACCCAACACAAUCUCAUUCACCUACACAAAAUCAGGUGACAUCCCUGUGGGUAUUUUUGACUUCCAUCUCUUUGCCAGAGCUUUCUGUCUAAAUCUCAGCACCUCAUUCUGUAGCAAUCCCUGGAUGAUGUCAGGUAAAACUGGGUAUUCCAGCAGAGUGCAGUGGUAUUGCCAGCUAGGCUGUCCAAAGUCAGUUCAGUGCUUUAGUGUUUUCCCUGUUUCAGUCUAUAGUAAUAUAGUACAGAAUCCUAAAUGCUUUAGAAAACUUUUUUUUUUUUUUCCUUUUGGUCUUCUCAGCACCAUUAGUAACACCAAUAGAACAAUUUCCCUAGGAAAAAAAAUUAAAGUUAUGAACUUUGCAUUUAAACAAGGAGCGUUUAUAUUAAGUAGAAAAGAGAAAGCCUUUGUUUGAGCACAACAAUCAGGCCUAAAGAAAAUACAGAAGUAUGCUUGGCCAAAAUUUUCAGCUUCAUUUUCUGUCAAAAAGCUAGUUCUUGCUGAGCUUAAAGCUUUUGCUGUAUUAUUUUAGAUAUGCUCCAUUACCUAAUGGCACAAAGGAUUUGUUUUUCUCAGUAUACAAUAAAAUUCGCACUUCUGGUGUGGAUUCCUUUGAACAUUUUGAGGAAUGGCACAGGGAACUGUGCCCUUUGGAAAGAAGAAAUGGUGGAAAACAGGAAGUGCUGAUUAUGAAACUCUGUGGGAGUGAGUCUGUCUAGCCAUACUGCAGCAUAAAUUCAGUUCAAUACUUAUCAAAAAGCAGUAUAUCUCCAGAGUCCCACUAUGCAGCCAAGUUUAGAUUACUUUUUGACAACUUUUCUAAUGGAUUCAACUGUGCAUGGUGAUAAGCUUGUACCUGAAACCAGAUUCAAGUACUUUCACUGUUAAAAGACAUGCUACUGUUUGGUUUAGUUAUGGUGGGGUUUUCUUGGUUUCUGUAGAGGCAAAGGUACAUGUAUCUGAUCUUCUGAAGUGGAAUCAUAUCUGUCUCCAGCUCAAGGUCACAGAUCAACUUUCACUUGUCAAUUCUUGAAGUACUUCCUGAAAUACCUUCUUCAUAUAUUAAAGCCAAGAACUUUAAGUAACAACUUGGAGGAGAGAAUGCUGAAGAUGUGAUCCCCCCUCACCACAAAAUGCUGUAGAUGAGUAAAAUUAGCAUGGGUUCCAGAGUGACUAGACAACUUAGUGAAAGAUGAAUCCAUUGGGGGCUAUUAAAUGCAAAAUCACCAUGUCUGGUUCAGGAGUCCUCUGAACCACAAAUUGCUGUGUGUGCUUGGUAGAUAUUCUGGGAACAACAUGAUGCACUUGCUCUGCUCCUAAUUCUUUUAUAGGCAUUUAGUGCUGCCCAUUGCUAGAGCCCAGCCUGCGCUGAUGUUCCUUGAAUUUGUGUCCCUGUUUCUAAGUUUUGGAAUACUUAUGUGGAUUAUUUCACAUUUCUUCACAGGAAAGGUGGGAAGAAGAGAGGACUCAAACAAUAACUCAGAAAGGAAGGUGAAUAGAAGUCACAAAAUUGAAAGAGAAGAAAGUUGUACACCAAAUUGAACAACUAUAUCAAUAUUUCAAAAGCUACCAAAUCUUGCACAUGCAAAAAAGGAAGCUUAACAAUCUUUGCUAAUCUCUAAUGCAAGAUGCAUCCAUUAUUUAUGAAGGCAGCAGACAAAGGGGAACUGCUCUUGAAUGGAAUCCUAAAUGCUCCUCAAGAGAAGCCCACAGCACAAGAUUACCUCUUACAAAGCUACUGACCAGUCUCUCUGGAGAUUAACUCUGAAAGUUAGUCUCCAGAAGAUCUUAUACUAACUGUGUGUGAACUGGAUUGAUAUUUGUAAAAGAUGCAAAGAAUGAAGAUAGAAUCCUGCUAUCCAAGCAUCAUUUUGUACCAACACCGACUGAGCAGGUUGAUAGCACUACAUCGACUUAGUGUCUUACUUAUUAUUGCGUGAAAAAUUCAAAUUAAGGAAAUCAGACAGUUGUAAAUUGCUGGCAUAUGUAGUCGUAAAUUAAAGAGCAGUCAUCAACAGAAAUAAAAGCCUGAAAUGAAUGAAUUUGAGUUCUGAGGAUGCACUGAGAAACUGAAGAAAGACAUCAAAGCCAGCAGGGAAAAAAAAUUAACAACUUAACAAGGAAAACUGGCUUUUAAGAAAAGACAUUGGAUUCAGCAAAGUGGUGCAUGGCCCAGAGAAGAUAAAAAUAAUGAAGAAGAACAGCGGGGACCGCAAUAAAAAUGGUUGGAAAUGAAUACACCCUGGAAAGUAGUUUGUACAGUUUUUGCCAACAAAACUCAUUGCAAUUAGGCAAUUAUAAAUGCUCAGGAAUUUUCUGAAGAUGAGAUGAUUUGCAAUUUAAUAUUGUUAUAAUGUUGGUAACAUGUCAGGGAACAACUGGCCUUUUAAGCCAGUCAGAUCACCAGGUUCAUGAAUCAGCUUCAGAGAGAAAACACAAGGAAUCCCCCAGUAGUUUUUAAUAGUUGUAUGACAGCCUAGAGGGUCAGAAAGUAAAAUUAUGUCAGGGAUUAUCUUGUAGCCCUUCCUUGUACUUUUAGUCUCAUUGCCAUUACGGGUUGCAAAUACCAAUUGUGUGUUUGAGAGACUCUCAUACAUCCUAUGCUAAAACAAAACCCGUUUCCCAAGCUGUAGAUAAUUUUGUUGUAUACUCUUCCAUGUGGAUUUGGGCUCCUCAUCACUUCUGAGAACUGUUACUGUCACCCUGAUAGUAAAGAAUUAGAUGGGGGUUAACUCCAAAAUACAUGUAUUACCAGCAGCACCUAUAACACCUAUAACACAAGUCUGUGAACCUAAUUCUGAUCCCACUUAGCCUAGUUUUAUGCCAGGGAACUUCAACAGAGUGACUCCUAGUUUGCUGCCAUAUAAGGGAGACUGGACCCAGUAUGACUCAGCCCAUCACUUGCCAGUCUAUUCUAAGCAAGACUAUAAUAAGAGUUUCCACAAAGGAAGCUUAGUUUGCUAAUAUGCAAAAGAGAAAAAAAGAGUAGCAAAAGAGUGCCUUUAUAGACAUUUGUUCCACAUUUUUUUUGGCUUUUGAGCUGGAUAUGUCUACACAGACUAUAAAUAUUUGCUCAAGGCAGAUGUGGCAUACUUUUGAGCUACCUGUGUUAAUUUUAAUAUACUUCAUGCAGUGGUAAAGAUAUGACAGCAUAGGCUGGAAACUGGAGUACAGGUGUCCUGGGCACACAUAGUAGUCACUUGUGCAUGCCACCACUUUUUGCUUCACUUGCUAAUUAUGUUAACACUAGUCUGGAUGUUGUAAAAUCACUUUGCCUGAAGAAGAAUGGGGCACAGAGAAUCCCUCCUGAAGAUAAUGUUUUGGUAGGAGGGGUGCAAUUCUCUCGUUUUCUGAGUCACUGAAAUUCAGCUGUUUCCUAAUGGACCCUUUAAUCAGGACAAAGAAUGAGUUUGUGCUUGAGGAAAGCACUCCCAGUGCACGCCUAACCUCGCAUUUUGCCUCUGAGAAACAUUAUUUUGUUACCUCAGAUUUUAUAGCAAAGGCAAAAGUGUUUGUAGUAUCUUAUUAAUGGAAAAGCUUAUUAACUCAGUUGGAAAGACAGGUUAUAAAAAAACAUCCACGAUGGCUGCAGCUAUGGGGCUAUACCCAGCAAAUGCCUCAGGCAUGCAGCUUUACCCACAUGGGGCUGGUUUGCUCAGGUGACUGUUGAUACCGUAUGCGUUCCACAGCAGCAGCCCUGUCACCUCUACAAGGUCAUGCUAUUUGCCUUGAAUGUUGCUUUUAACAUAAAACCACUUUGAAUGUUAGAGGAUGCUCAGCUACUCACGUAAGAGGUCAUUCUGAAAGCAGCAUGUUAUCCUGUAGAAUAUAAAUCAAGUUACACGCAUGUAUAUUUUGCUCAUCUGAGAAGAUUAUUCCAGCUAUUGCCUUAAGAAGUCACAAGGUCACUGCUCCCUUUGCUCAAAUUCCUUGUUGAAAUGUACAUCUUUUAGAAGGCCAGUAAGAAGCCAGACUAUGCAUAACAGGCAAGUAAAAGAGAUUUGGAGAAUGUGUAGAAGACCAGCAAUCUACAUAAAUCAUAAGUUUAUACUUCUCUUCCACUAUUGCUUCCCUUUUUUGAGCUGCUGGACCAUGAGCAAAAC